Molecule: ribosomal RNA, 238 nt
Filed under: uncultured bacterium
Lineage: Bacteria
Description: partial 16S ribosomal RNA
Rfam family: Bacterial small subunit ribosomal RNA
Source: RNAcentral
CGGCGGACGGGUGAGUAACGCGUGGGUAACCUGCCUCAUACAGGGGGAUAACAGUUGGAAACGGCUGCUAAUACCGCAUAAGCGCACGGUACCGCAUGGUACGGUGUGAAAAACUCCGGUGGUAUGAGAUGGACCCGCGUCUGAUUAGCUAGUUGGUGAGGUAACGGCCCACCAAGGCGACGAUCAGUAGCCGACCUGAGAGGGUGACCGGCCACAUUGGGACUGAGACACGGCCCAG